GGGGGUGUAGCUCAGCUGGGAGAGCAUCUGCCUUGCAAGCAGAGGGCCAGCGGUUCGAACCCGCUCACCUCCA
Molecule: transfer RNA, 73 nt
Filed under: Candidatus Wallbacteria bacterium GWC2_49_35
Lineage: Bacteria; Candidatus Walliibacteriota
Also listed under: 1 other name
Description: tRNA-Ala
Rfam family: tRNA
About the family: Transfer RNA (tRNA) molecules are approximately 80 nucleotides in length. Their secondary structure includes four short double-helical elements and three loops (D, anti-codon, and T loops). Further hydrogen bonds mediate the characteristic L-shaped molecular structure. tRNAs have two regions of fundamental functional importance: the anti-codon, which is responsible for specific mRNA codon recognition, and the 3' end, to which the tRNAs corresponding amino acid is attached (by aminoacyl-tRNA synthetases). tRNAs cope with the degeneracy of the genetic code in two manners: having more than one tRNA (with a specific anti-codon) for a particular amino acid; and 'wobble' base-pairing, i.e. permitting non-standard base-pairing at the 3rd anti-codon position.
Source: RNAcentral